UUUGUACUCCCUCCAUCCCAAAAUUCUUGUCUUAAAUUUGUCUAAAUACAAAUGUAUCUAGUUACAUUUUAGUGUUAGAUACAUCUGUAUCUAAACAACUGCAAGACAAGAAUUUUGGGACGGAGGGAAUACUAC
Non-coding RNA from Triticum aestivum (bread wheat), 135 nucleotides. NCBI's taxonomy places the organism in Eukaryota, Viridiplantae, Streptophyta, Magnoliopsida, Poales, Poaceae. The record is from Rfam.